This 253-nucleotide ribosomal RNA is filed under the name uncultured bacterium. RNAcentral's name for it is "partial 16S ribosomal RNA". It matches the Rfam family "Bacterial small subunit ribosomal RNA", at positions 524 to 776 of the family's 1533-position model. The record is from RNAcentral.
UACAGAGGCCUCGAGCGUUAGGCGGAAUUACUGGGCGUAAAGCGUGCGCAGGCGGCUUUGCAAGACAGAUGUGAAAUCCCCGGGCUUAACCUGGGAACUGCAUUUGUGACUGCAUGGCUGGAGUGCGGCAGAGGGGGAUGGAAUUCCGCGUGUAGCAGUGAAAUGCGUAGAUAUGCGGAGGAACACCGAUGGCGAAGGCAAUCCCCUGGGCCUGCACUGACGCUCAUGCACGAAAGCGUGGGGAGCAAACAGG